GACGAACGCUGGCGGCGUGCUUAACACAUGCAAGUCGAACGGAAAGGCCCUGCUUUUGUGGGGUGCUCGAGUGGCGAACGGGUGAGUAACACGUGAGUAACCUGCCCUUGACUUUGGGAUAACUUCAGGAAACUGGGGCUAAUACCGGAUAGGAGCUCCUGCUGCAUGGUGGGGGUUGGAAAGUUUCGGCGGUUGGGGAUGGACUCGCGGCUUAUCAGCUUGUUGGUGGGGUAGUGGCUUACCAAGGCUUUGACGGGUAGCCGGCCUGAGAGGGUGACCGGCCACAUUGGGACUGAGAUACGGCCCAGACGCCUACGGGAGGCAGUGGUGGGGAAUAUUGCACAAUGGGCGGAAGCCUGAUGCAGCAACGCCGCGUGCGGGAUGACGGCCUUCGGGUUGUAAACCGCUUUCGCCUGUGACGAAGCGUGAGUGACGGUAAUGGGUAAAGAAGCACCGGCUAACUACGUG
This 468-nucleotide ribosomal RNA is filed under the name uncultured bacterium. RNAcentral's name for it is "partial 16S ribosomal RNA". It matches the Rfam family "Bacterial small subunit ribosomal RNA", at positions 28 to 507 of the family's 1533-position model. The record is from RNAcentral.